AGCAGCCGCGGUAAUUCCAGCUCCAAUAGCGUAUAUUAAAGUUGUUGCAGUUAAAAAGCUCGUAGUUGAAUUUCGGGGUCAGUAGGUUGGUCAUGCCUUUGGUAUGUACUGGUCUCACUGAUUCCUCCCUCUUGAAGAACUGUAAUGUCAUUAAUUUGGUGUUGCGGGGAAUCAGGACCGUUACUUUGAAAAAAUUAGAGUGUUUAAAGCAGGCUUACGCUUGAAUACAUUAGCAUGGAAUAAUGAAAUAGGACGUUUGAUCCUAUUUUGUUGGUUUCUAGGAUUGACGUAAUGAUUAAUAGGGAUAGUUGGGGGCAUUAGUAUUCAAUUGUCAGAGGUGAAAUUCUUGGAUUUAUUGAAGACUAACUACUGCGAAAGCAUUUGCCAAGGAUGUUUUCAUUAAUCAAGAACGAAAGUUAGGGGAUCGAAGACGAUCAGAUACCGUCGUAGUCUUAACCAUAAACUAUGCCGACUAGGGAUCGGAUGAUGUUAAUUUUUUAAUGACUCAUUCGGCGCCUUA
This 520-nucleotide unclassified non-coding RNA is filed under the name uncultured Glomus. RNAcentral's name for it is "SSU rRNA". It matches the Rfam family "Eukaryotic small subunit ribosomal RNA", at positions 569 to 1090 of the family's 1831-position model. The record is from RNAcentral. Lineage: Eukaryota; Fungi; Glomeromycota; Glomeromycetes; Glomerales; Glomeraceae.